GGUCUGUUAACGAUUUGUGUUAUCAAAGAGUGAAUAUGUUUGGAAGUUGGAACUGAUGAUUAGUGACGACAAUGUGCUCUCUAGUUGCUUGCAAAUGUGAAUGAUAUUUAUUAUGUCUUAUGUCUCAUCAAAAUAUCACUCUCAUAUGUUUUAUUAGUUAGUUAGUAGCAAUUGACUCUCUUUGCAACCACAUAGCUUGAUGGGUUAUCGUAGAAAGUUUAGUCAUAUUUGAUAUGAAUACGGGCACAAAGCAGAUGCAUACAUGUUUUAUAUGAAUUUAGGAAACUGACCAGAAAUUCUUAUCUUGUAUUGUAGGUUACAUCACCAUAUGGCAGCGUUUUGCACCACAGUGAAAACGCUACGCAUGGUCAGUUUGCGUUUACAACCCAAGAAUCAGGAACCUACUUGGCCUGUUUUGAGGCUGUAGGGAAUAGUCACGGCAACAAGGAUAUCAGCAUCAACCUUGACUGGAAAACUGGAAUCGCGGCCAAGGAUUGGGACUCCAUUGCCAGAAAAGAGAAAUUGAUUGCUCGGAUUCAAGUUUCCUUAUCUUGAAAACGUUUAUGCUAAUGAUUUGGCGUUAAUGUUCUUUGAUUGUUCAAGUUGUGCAUUUAACUGUUAAGGUAAUGGAACAAAACCAUCUAGCUGAUUCACUAAUGUAUGAAAAGAGAUUUCUAUGUGAUUUUGAUAAGAGAAUCAUAUUGACACAAGGGUUGUGCAAAUAGACCGUUUUGUGAAUAUAAUGUAUAUUCAUCAGUUCUUGAUAUAUCGACGGUCUUGGGCAUACGCUACGCAUGGUCAGUUUGCGUUUACAACCCAAGAAUCAGGAACCUACUUGGCCUGUUUUGAGGCUGUAGGGAAUAGUCACGGCAACAACGAUAUCAGCAUCAACCUUGACUGGAAAACUGGAAUCGCGGCCAAGGAUUGGGACUCCAUUGCCAGAAAAGAGAAGAUCGAGGUCAGCUCUCCAUUUCCCAAUAAAAUUUUACAAUUUGCACUUAAAAAUAUUCAACACACUUAUAAGAGUAGUUUGUGGAAUAAAGUUAAGUCUCUAUACGAAGCACUAUUAUGCAUUAAAUCGUA
Molecule: long non-coding RNA, 1083 nt
Filed under: Brassica napus (rape)
Lineage: Eukaryota; Viridiplantae; Streptophyta; Magnoliopsida; Brassicales; Brassicaceae
Description: long non-coding RNA (BNAP_LNC010126)
Source: RNAcentral